Molecule: ribosomal RNA, 429 nt
Filed under: Fusobacteriota bacterium
Lineage: Bacteria; Fusobacteriati; Fusobacteriota
Description: Fusobacteria bacterium partial 16S ribosomal RNA
Rfam family: Bacterial small subunit ribosomal RNA
Source: RNAcentral
UGGGGAAUAUUGCACAAUGGGCGCAAGCCUGAUGCAGCCAUGCCGCGUGUAUGAAGAAGGCCUUCGGGUUGUAAAGUACUUUCAGCGGGGAGGAAGGGAGUAAAGUUAAUACCUUUGCUCAUUGACGUUACCCGCAGAAGAAGCACCGGCUAACUCCGUGCCAGCAGCCGCGGUAAUAUGGAGGGUGCAAGCGUUAAUCGGAAUUACUGGGCGUAAAGCGCACGCAGGCGGUUUGUUAAGUCAGAUGUGAAAUCCCCGGGCUCAACCUGGGAACUGCAUCUGAUACUGGCAAGCUUGAGUCUCGUAGAGGGGGGUAGAAUUCCAGGUGUAGCGGUGAAAUGCGUAGAGAUCUGGAGGAAUACCGGUGGCGAAGGCGGCCCCCUGGACGAAGACUGACGCUCAGGUGCGAAAGCGUGGGGAGCAAACAGG